RNAcentral lists this ribosomal RNA (1541 nucleotides) under Salmonella enterica subsp. enterica serovar Infantis. Its description in RNAcentral is "bacterial SSU rRNA". It matches the Rfam family "Bacterial small subunit ribosomal RNA". Lineage: Bacteria; Pseudomonadati; Pseudomonadota; Gammaproteobacteria; Enterobacterales; Enterobacteriaceae. The record is from RNAcentral.
AAAUUGAAGAGUUUGAUCAUGGCUCAGAUUGAACGCUGGCGGCAGGCCUAACACAUGCAAGUCGAACGGUAGCACAGAGAGCUUGCUCUCGGGUGACGAGUGGCGGACGGGUGAGUAAUGUCUGGGAAACUGCCUGAUGGAGGGGGAUAACUACUGGAAACGGUGGCUAAUACCGCAUAACGUCGCAAGACCAAAGAGGGGGACCUUCGGGCCUCUUGCCAUCAGAUGUGCCCAGAUGGGAUUAGCUUGUUGGUGAGGUAACGGCUCACCAAGGCGACGAUCCCUAGCUGGUCUGAGAGGAUGACCAGCCACACUGGAACUGAGACACGGUCCAGACUCCUACGGGAGGCAGCAGUGGGGAAUAUUGCACAAUGGGCGCAAGCCUGAUGCAGCCAUGCCGCGUGUAUGAAGAAGGCCUUCGGGUUGUAAAGUACUUUCAGCGGGGAGGAAGGUGUUGUGGUUAAUAACCACAGCAAUUGACGUUACCCGCAGAAGAAGCACCGGCUAACUCCGUGCCAGCAGCCGCGGUAAUACGGAGGGUGCAAGCGUUAAUCGGAAUUACUGGGCGUAAAGCGCACGCAGGCGGUCUGUCAAGUCGGAUGUGAAAUCCCCGGGCUCAACCUGGGAACUGCAUUCGAAACUGGCAGGCUUGAGUCUUGUAGAGGGGGGUAGAAUUCCAGGUGUAGCGGUGAAAUGCGUAGAGAUCUGGAGGAAUACCGGUGGCGAAGGCGGCCCCCUGGACAAAAGACUGACGCUCAGGUGCGAAAGCGUGGGGAGCAAACAGGAUUAGAUACCCUGGUAGUCCACGCCGUAAACGAUGUCUACUUGGAGGUUGUGCCCUUGAGGCGUGGCUUCCGGAGCUAACGCGUUAAGUAGACCGCCUGGGGAGUACGGCCGCAAGGUUAAAACUCAAAUGAAUUGACGGGGGCCCGCACAAGCGGUGGAGCAUGUGGUUUAAUUCGAUGCAACGCGAAGAACCUUACCUGGUCUUGACAUCCACAGAAGAAUCCAGAGAUGGAUUUGUGCCUUCGGGAACUGUGAGACAGGUGCUGCAUGGCUGUCGUCAGCUCGUGUUGUGAAAUGUUGGGUUAAGUCCCGCAACGAGCGCAACCCUUAUCCUUUGUUGCCAGCGGUCCGGCCGGGAACUCAAAGGAGACUGCCAGUGAUAAACUGGAGGAAGGUGGGGAUGACGUCAAGUCAUCAUGGCCCUUACGACCAGGGCUACACACGUGCUACAAUGGCGCAUACAAAGAGAAGCGACCUCGCGAGAGCAAGCGGACCUCAUAAAGUGCGUCGUAGUCCGGAUUGGAGUCUGCAACUCGACUCCAUGAAGUCGGAAUCGCUAGUAAUCGUGGAUCAGAAUGCCACGGUGAAUACGUUCCCGGGCCUUGUACACACCGCCCGUCACACCAUGGGAGUGGGUUGCAAAAGAAGUAGGUAGCUUAACCUUCGGGAGGGCGCUUACCACUUUGUGAUUCAUGACUGGGGUGAAGUCGUAACAAGGUAACCGUAGGGGAACCUGCGGUUGGAUCACCUCCUUA